This 307-nucleotide unclassified non-coding RNA is filed under the name Hevea brasiliensis (rubber tree). Lineage: Eukaryota; Viridiplantae; Streptophyta; Magnoliopsida; Malpighiales; Euphorbiaceae. The record is from RNAcentral.
GCUGAAAUGUACCAAUCUUAUGAAGAAACAAAUUUAUGGAAAUUUGUUGAAAAUUUGCCUCAAGGUGUUCAUGUCAAUUUCCUAAAGGCAGAGAGGAGUUUGCACAGGUGGGCCCUUGAAGAUCUGCAGCGAAUUCAUGCUGCUGAGGAUCUGGCUGCUGAGGAGGGAGGUGGAGUUGAAAUGCAUGUCCUUGAAGAUGCUGGCCAUUGGGUACAUGCUGAUAACCCAGAUGGGCUUUUCAGGAUUCUUUCGUCUUCUUUCCAGGGGUUCAAAGCCUGAAGGUGUUGCAUUGAAUCACUGCUUAUAC